AUAUCAAUAAGCGGAGGAAAAGAAAAUAACAAUGAUUCCCCUAGUAACUGCGAGUGAAGCGGGAAAAGCUCAAAUUUAAAAUCUCCUUGGGCGCAAAGUCCUUGGCGAAUUGUAGUUUCAAGAAGCACUUUCGGUUGAAGCCUUGGUUCAAGUCCCUUGGAAUAGGGCG
Molecule: ribosomal RNA, 169 nt
Filed under: uncultured Lacustromyces
Lineage: Eukaryota; Fungi; Chytridiomycota; Chytridiomycetes; Polychytriales
Description: partial large subunit ribosomal RNA
Rfam family: Eukaryotic large subunit ribosomal RNA
Source: RNAcentral